GGGCGAGUUCAUGACUUGCACAAGGUGUAAAAAGGAGCAACGAUUAUGCCUCCGCAUUACUAUGGAUUACGGGCUCUACCAUGAUAUUUUGGCUAAUAAAAGGUGGAGGUUCCUUGACUGCCAUUAUGAGAGGUAAAUCUUUAUCAUGAUUUUUGUUGUAUAUGUAUAUAUUUAUGUGCAAAUUCACUACAUGUUAUGUAGAGUAAUGUGUAUAUAUAUGUUUCUAAAAGAUAAACUGUGAUGCUAACUAAAAAAGGCAAGUCACAAAACUUGCAAAGGGUGUACAAGAGAUCCAAAAUGCAUAAUGAACCUCUUGUGCCUCCUUUGAUUUCUACAAGAGUCGCCUUAGGGACAGUUAGUGUCGCACCUGCAUUUAUUAUAUGCAGAAUGCACAUUCCUAAUCUCCCAUAGUCAUCACUCUAACUUAAAGAUUACGCAUAUUAGAAGUGUCAUCUUUUAAACUUUAUGUCGACUAUAUGUAUACUUCAGACUGCAUGAUCAUGUUUUUUAAUUAACGGCCCAAGCUCGACCAUCACUUUUAAUUGGAAUCUUGAUGCACGUGCCAUCUUCGACCGAACAGUACAUACAUCUACAAAGUCUCUGGGCAUGGAGGUGGUGGACAACAAGGCUCUCUAACUAGUCGUCGUUUGUUCAGGUUCUUCGGUGGCCAUACAUUUGAUGCUCUUAUCAAAAUUGCUUGCUGUUGUAUGAUGGGUGAUAAUUAGAGUUGAAAAUUUUUGUUUGGAAUUUGGGUUUUGGAGAAAUGAAAGAAAACUCUUUAGAAUUAAUGAGAGAAUAACUAAAGGGCAAUAGAGGACAUAUAUAAAUAUAUAUAUGUAUAUUUUUUCUAUCUCAAAAAUUCUCUAACAAUAAUGCUACAUCUUGUUUAAGUAUGCAUAUUUAUAUUUGUAAAAUCUUUACAUGUAAAGUAUAUUUAAAAGAACUAUGAGUAUCCUUGAAUUUAUUUUUUUAUUUAUCAUAAUCCUAUUAUUUAGAGAAUUUUACUAAAAUCCUUAAUUGAAAUAAAUAAUCUUAUUUAGUAGAAACUAGUGAUACACUAUUGGCUUUCUUUAAAUAUAUGCAGAUAUUAUUUCCUUAAAAAUAAUAGUUUGUCAAUUAAUAUUAUGUAAGUGGGAUUGGUGGCAUAGAGCUUGAAUUAUCAAUUCAAUGUGUACUAUUCCAAGACGUUAAGUCUUGUGAUAAAAUAAAUUACUAUUAAGAUACUGAUUAUUUUUAUAACAUUCUGGCUUACUUUACUUGUUUGAGUAUCUAUCAUUUAUCACACGACUUUGAUAGGUACAAUGAAUAUGUAUAAGAUUUCUUAUUUGUAUAGAAGUAAAAAACCAUUCAAUUUUUCAUUUGUCCCAUGAAUUUUAUGGGAAGAAAGAAUACCUACAAGAUCUCUUAUUUGUAUAGAAGUACAAAAUCAAAUACUAAAAGCUUGUUGUAAACCUAAACAACAGAUCAAGGCUCAUUGGUGGAAAACAACAAUUCAAUUAGGGCGAGUUCAUUACUUGCACAAGGUAUAAAAAGGACCAACGAUUCUGCCUCCACACUAGUAAGGAUUACAAGCUCUACCAUGAUACUUUGGCUAAUAAAUGGUGGAGGUGCCCCAACUGGCAUUACUAGAGGUAAACCUUUUAUCAUUAUUUUUAUUGUAUAUGUGUAUAUUAACGUGCAAAUCCACUACAUGUUAUGUAGAGUAAUUUGUAUAUAUGUAUUUUUAAGAUGAGCUAUGAUGCUAACUAAGAAAGCACAAGUCGCAAAACUUGCAGAGGGUGUACAAGAGAUCCAAAAUGCAGAAUACACCUCUUGUGUCACCUUUGAUUGCUAUAAGUGUCGCCUUAGGGACUGCAAGUGCCACACCUGCAUUUAUUAUAAGGAGAAUGCAAAGCCCUAAUCUCUCCUAAUCAUCACUCUGUAUAAAUGAUUAGUAGAUUAUAAGUUUCAUCUUUCAGACGUUAUGUACACUAUACGUAAACUCCAUACUGCAUGAUCAUGUUUUUUUAUUAAUGGCCAGAGCUUGAUCACCACUUUUAAUUGGAAUCUGGAUUCACGUGCCAUCUUCCACUGCGUAGUACACAGAUCCCUACAGUGCUGCCGGUAGCAUCUGCAUAGGCUCUAGGCAUAGAGGCGGUGGACGACAAGGCUCUCUAACUAGUCGUCGUUUGAUCAGGUUCUAUGAUGGCUGUGCUUUGGAUGCUCUUUUCAAAACUAUUUGCUACUGUAUGAUGGGUGAUGAUUAGACUUGAAAAUUUGUGUUUGGAAUUUAGUUUUUGAAGAAGAGAAAGAAAACUCAUUGGAGUUAAUAAGAGAAGAACAAAAGAAUA
Molecule: long non-coding RNA, 2330 nt
Filed under: Carica papaya (papaya)
Lineage: Eukaryota; Viridiplantae; Streptophyta; Magnoliopsida; Brassicales; Caricaceae
Description: long non-coding RNA (CPAP_LNC004350)
Source: RNAcentral